This 683-nucleotide long non-coding RNA is filed under the name Coffea arabica (coffee). Its description in RNAcentral is "long non-coding RNA (CARA_LNC008035)". The record is from RNAcentral. Lineage: Eukaryota; Viridiplantae; Streptophyta; Magnoliopsida; Gentianales; Rubiaceae.
UUCCGUAUGUCAAGAGUUUGUAGGUAUCGCAAGCAACCGACGGAAUGAGGGAGCCUGCUAAUGUAUGUGCCUCUUAAAUUGAGGUACCUUAGAAGCCUGACUUCACGAAUUCCUUUUGGCAAAUUAAAGUACAUAUUAACAUUCUCAAGGUCUAGUAUCCUCAGCUUUCUGAAACUUUUGAAGAUAAGACUAAUGUUUUUCCUGUGACAGCGGACAUUGAAAAAAAGCAGAGACCGGAGAGGAGGGGUCGAAGACCCAAAAUAAUUUUUAUCCAGAGGGAGACUAUGAACAGCAAGGUACCUGGAUUUGGCUGAUAUUUCAUCAUCUCUGGUGUCAUGGAUCUGAAAAAAAAUUUCAUCCUCUGCCUUUCUGAUUGCAAGCUCUCGCAGCAAAUCAUGGACUCUGCAGCUUCUAAUCCUCUCAUCAACAGUCGUUUCUGCCACUUGGACCAUAUUCCUGCUACAAAGUUGUUCUACAUCAUAUGCUGCAGUUUCCUCCAAAUUUUUUGCAUCUCUUUUCUGGAUUAUUCCCUCUGCAACCCACAUUUGGAUCAACUUGCGCACAGAAAUCACGUGGUCUUCUGGAAACAAACCCAAAUACGAAAAGCAAAAUUUCAGUUUGGGAGAAAGGUCUGCAUAACUUAAUUCCAGAAUUGCUAAUACCCCACUCUGGCUCCUUGACAG